UACGUAGGUGACCAGCGUUGUCCGGAUUUACUGGGCGUAAAGAGCGCGCAGGCGGUCGUUCAAGUCGAGUGUGGAAGCCCCCGGCUCAACUGGGGAGGGUCAUUCGAUACUGAUCGACUGGAAGGCAGGAGAGGGAAGCGGAAUUCCCGGUGUAGUGGUGAAAUGCGUAGAUAUCGGGAGGAACACCAGUGGCGAAGGCGGCUUCCUGGCCUGUUCUUGACGCUGAGGCGCGAAAGCUAGGGGAGCAAACGGG
Molecule: ribosomal RNA, 253 nt
Filed under: uncultured bacterium
Lineage: Bacteria
Description: partial 16S ribosomal RNA
Rfam family: Bacterial small subunit ribosomal RNA
Source: RNAcentral